ACGGUACUCAGUUCAGAUUGUAGGCUGCAACUCGCCUAUAUGAAGUUGGAAUUGCUAGUAAUCGCGGAUCAGCAUGCCGCGGUGAAUACGUUCCCGGGUCUUGUACACACCGCCCGUCACACCAUGGGAGUCGGGAAUGCCCGAAGCCGGUGGCCCAAUCGAAAGAAGGGAGCCGUCGAAGGCAGGCCGGAUGACUGGGGUGAAGUCGUAACAAGGUAUC
This 220-nucleotide ribosomal RNA is filed under the name uncultured bacterium. RNAcentral's name for it is "partial 16S ribosomal RNA". It matches the Rfam family "Bacterial small subunit ribosomal RNA", at positions 1281 to 1500 of the family's 1533-position model. The record is from RNAcentral.